This 1055-nucleotide long non-coding RNA is filed under the name Homo sapiens (human). RNAcentral's name for it is "HSALNT0319421". The record is from RNAcentral. Lineage: Eukaryota; Metazoa; Chordata; Mammalia; Primates; Hominidae.
GGAAGCUGAAGUCCAGAGGCUCUAUUCAGUCAAGGGGUGAUGAACUCUCUUUGGGUCUGGAGACAGGCUGGAACUGGGAUGAGAUAUGGAGACCCUGCCAUUUACGACAACGUGGAUGUAUCUGCAGGACAUUAAGACAAGUGCAAUAAGCAAGACACGGAAAGAAAAUAUAGCAUGGUCUCUCUUAUAUGUGGAAUUUUAAAAAUUAACUCUGAAUACUUUGGAUUAAACUGAUGCAGCAGUCAUCCAAGAGAUGUCCACAUAUGUACUCCUGUUAAUGUUAGUUCCUUUCAUCCAAGCCAUCAGAGGUUCUCCCUGGAUCUCAUUUUUGGGAGUAGCUGACUUUUUCAUUCUCUGCUGGAGCGUUUGGGCUGAUUCAUCACCCCCUCCCCCACCACCAUUCACUGAAUGUAGCCACUGGUCGUGGCUGCCUUUUCUGCUAUUUUAUAGAACCAAGCCUGAAUCUAUAAAGCGCUUCCCUUGGUACCUCCCAGAAACUUUUUAUUGCCUGUCUCUUUCUGUCAACUCAGUUGCAGAAAAAUACAUUUUAUGGCUCCAGUAAUUUAAGAAAGCUCUGAAAAAUCAAAUCUGUCCAUGGCAGUGCUAGCAUACUGUCUAUUAGAUUAAAUGAAGCUGUAAGCAUCUUUGAAGUACAAAUGAUACUUGGAAAGUAAAUGAAACUGGGAAUACUUGCAAGUAAAAUAUGGGAAGUCAAAGAGAUUAAAGGAUGAGAACCAGAAAUUGCUUAUGGCCAGUGUCCUGAGUAAGCCUCAGAAUCGCAUCCUAGAAGCAUCAAGUUCUUGUGUUACCCUAUGGAUCUAAAAAACGACUUCCUUAGUUUGAUGUAGUCUGCAGACAUCUCAUCAUCACAAAAACUUGAAAGCACUUACAGCACUAAGAAACUACCUUUGCAGAUUGUAAAAAAAGAUAGAAUCCUACUUAGUGUUUUGAUCACACCUGCCUAUUUCCCCAAGGUUUUACUGCAGGGUUAAAGAAUGAAUAAGCAUCUAGUUAUAUUUAAUAAACUCCAUGCCUUAUGGCUGAUUCUAAAGGCA